Molecule: long non-coding RNA, 87 nt
Organism: Sinocyclocheilus grahami
Lineage: Eukaryota; Metazoa; Chordata; Actinopteri; Cypriniformes; Cyprinidae
Exons: 3
Source: RefSeq, a predicted model, not a curated record
UGAACAACAUUAAAAGGCAAAUUUCAAGAAUCGCUUUUGUGCCCAUUGCAAUUUUGUGACGCUGUGAAAAUGCUCAACUGAGGAGAU